UACAGAGGGGGCAAGCGUUGUUCGGAAUUACUGGGCGUAAAGGGCGCGUAGGCGGCCUUCUAAGUCGAACGUGAAAUCCCCGGGCUCAACCCGGGAACUGCGUCCGAGACUGAAAGGCUCGAAUCCGGGAGAGGGAUGUGGAAUUCCAGGUGUAGUGGUGAAAUGCGUAGAUAUCGGGAGGAACACCUGCGGCGAAGGCGGCUUCCUGGACUGCAACUGACGCUGAGGCGCGAAAGCUAGGGGAGCAAACAGG
RNAcentral lists this ribosomal RNA (253 nucleotides) under uncultured bacterium. Its description in RNAcentral is "partial 16S ribosomal RNA". It matches the Rfam family "Bacterial small subunit ribosomal RNA", at positions 524 to 776 of the family's 1533-position model. The record is from RNAcentral.